UUUCCGUAGGUGAACCUGCGGAAGGAUCAUUAUCGUACAAAAUGUGAUUGGCAUUCUAGGGCUGGCGCUGACCCUGACGUCGUUCACGCCCGUGUGUGUCCUCUUGCGUAAUAAUGCGUCUCACCCUAAGUCCAUCACCGCGGGGGAACCCUUCCUGACAACCUCGGAAGUGUGCUCGCGUUGUCACACGAACGCCCCUUUUAAAAGUGUAGGAUUACCACAUUUAUGCAAUCAAUACAACUUUCAACAACGGAUCUCUAGGCUCUCGCAUCGAUGAAA
RNAcentral lists this unclassified non-coding RNA (279 nucleotides) under plant metagenome. RNAcentral's name for it is "partial contains small subunit ribosomal RNA, internal transcribed spacer 1, and 5.8S ribosomal RNA". The record is from RNAcentral.